AAACUUCGCAAUAAUAGGACGACGGGGGGAGGGGAAGUAGGGGACUUUGACAUGACAAUUUGAAUUUUAUAAGUGAAGUGCACAAUUGGUGUAAACUCAAAAUCGCAGGCUCACAGAGAAAAAUAUCGAUCGCCAACUUAUUAUUUAUGAUAUUUUGUAGUGAUCUUGCUAAAAUUUGAAUAAAUAAAUACAGAAUACAUGAGUGCCAUUGUGAUACCCCAGUUUGUAUGAUAAUUUUUAAUUGUUUGUAUGUUAUU
Paramuricea clavata is the source of this 257-nucleotide non-coding RNA. The record is from the annotation of a GenBank genome assembly. Lineage: Eukaryota; Metazoa; Cnidaria; Anthozoa; Malacalcyonacea; Plexauridae.